AGAACUUAGCAGAGAUGCUUUGGUGCCUUCGGGAACUCUGAGACAGGUGCUGCAUGGCUGUCGUCAGCUCGUGUUGUGAAAUGUUGGGUUAAGUCCCGCAACGAGCGCAACCCUUAUCCUUUGUUGCCAGCGGUCCGGCCGGGAACUCAAAGGAGACUGCCAGUGAUAAACUGGAGGAAGGUGGGGAUGACGUCAAGUCAUCAUGGCCCUUACGAGUAGGGCUACACACGUGCUACAAUGGCGCAUACAAAGAGAAGCGACCUCGCGAGAGCAAGCGGACCUCAUAAAGUGCGUCGUAGUCCGGAUUGGAGUCUGCAACUCGACUCCAUGAAGUCGGAAUCGCUAGUAAUCGUGGAUCAGAAUGCCACGGUGAAUACGUUCCCGGGCCUUGUACACACCGCCCGUCACACCAUGGGAGUGGGUUGCAAAAGGAGUAGGUAGCUUAACCUUCGGGAGGGCGCUUACCACUUUGUGAUUCAUGACUGGGGUGAAGUCGUAACAAGGUAAGCGUAGUGCU
Molecule: ribosomal RNA, 517 nt
Filed under: uncultured bacterium
Lineage: Bacteria
Description: bacterial SSU rRNA
Rfam family: Bacterial small subunit ribosomal RNA
Source: RNAcentral